Molecule: ribosomal RNA, 495 nt
Filed under: uncultured bacterium
Lineage: Bacteria
Description: partial 16S ribosomal RNA
Rfam family: Bacterial small subunit ribosomal RNA
Source: RNAcentral
GACGAACGCUGGCGGCGUGCCUAAUACAUGCAAGUAGAACGCUGAAGGAGGAGCUUGCUUCUCUGGAUGAGUUGCGAACGGGUGAGUAACGCGUAGGUAACCUGCCUGGUAGCGGGGGAUAACUAUUGGAAACGAUAGCUAAUACCGCAUAAGAGUAGAUGUUGCAUGACAUUUGCUUAAAAAGUGCAAUUGCAUCACUACCAGAUGGACCUGCGUUGUAUUAGCUAGUUGGUGGGGUAACGGCUCACCAAGGCGACGAUACAUAGCCGACCUGAGAGGGUGAUCGGCCACACUGGGACUGAGACACGGCCCAGACGCCUACGGGAGGCAGCAGUAGGGAAUCUUCGGCAAUGGACGGAAGUCUGACCGAGCAACGCCGCGUGAGGGAAGAAGGUUGUCGGAUCGUAAAGCUCUGUUGUAAGGGAAGAACGAGUGUGAGAGUGGAAAGUUCACACUGUGACGGUAUCUUACCAGAAAGGGACGGCUAACUACGUG